AUGACUCAAAUGCUCCAGAAGGUUUGGAGAAAAUUCACCUCAAAAGCCCCGGGACUGCCGAACCAGCUGCAAUUUAGACACCCGAAAUGGUUGUGGCAGCAACCCGGGAAUAAUUACUGUGGAUACUACAUUUGCGAGUCCAUCCGCUACCAUACCUGUGAGCGGGGCUACACUGAAGAACAAUAUGAAAUUUUUCGGAAGCGGGAUCAACUCCUAGCACCAGAUCGUAUGCGAGGAAUUCAAGAGGAAUUGGCGGCAUUCUUCCUUGACCACGUGAUCGCUGAAAACGGAGAAUACUAUGUGGACCCUGUGUUCCUACAAUAUAAUUAG
This 330-nucleotide ribosomal RNA is filed under the name Triticum aestivum (bread wheat). RNAcentral describes it as "partial small subunit ribosomal RNA". The record is from RNAcentral. Lineage: Eukaryota; Viridiplantae; Streptophyta; Magnoliopsida; Poales; Poaceae.